GUGGCGGACGUUCAGACCCUCGUGCCCCGGGCCAAGCUUCUGGCCAUCAACGCUGCUGUGCACCAGCAGCUCUGUGACGAGAUCGAGCCACCCAGCCCAGAGCACAGAGCAGAGCUGUGCCGCUGCGCCGUGCUGCAGGCCCAGAUUUGCCCCGCGGAGACCAUCGUGUUCCUCUACUGCAAGCUGAGGAGCGGGAGCAAGGCCGAUCGCGUGGCAGCCGUGGAAGUGCUGCAAGCUCUGGUCCGCUCUGAUGGUCAGUGGCCCAGGACAGAGAAAGGGAGUCCCGCCGGGACGCUGCUGCUUCCUCUGCCGUCGCAGUCUGGCCCUGCUUUGC
This 334-nucleotide long non-coding RNA is filed under the name Struthio camelus australis. RNAcentral's name for it is "lncRNA (ENSSCUG00000006596.1)". The record is from RNAcentral. Lineage: Eukaryota; Metazoa; Chordata; Aves; Struthioniformes; Struthionidae.